UUCCCAAUUCCUUAAUUUCUCUUAAUCUAUUAUUAGGCAGUCGAGUUCCAUACAUUUAUUUCAACCCUUCUUGAACCUACCCAUGUGGAAGGCAGAAGCGCUGGGACAUGACCACCCAACUCAGCUCUGAAGCAGCCCUCACACAAUGACGGGGACUGCAAAAAGGAAAUUCUUUGAUAGAAAACCUGGACAGAAACAUUUUAUUUUAUUUUUUAACUUCAGGCAGACAAAGGCAUGAAAGAAAUGUGCCCUUUUGUUGACUGAUUGACAGCUCCAAACCGAACCAGAAUUUUCAAAAGGUGGACCUGAUCUCGUAACAUUGUAAAUUCAGUAUCUAUACGGUUCAUGAAAAUUGUUUUCCCAUUGCUUCUACCUUUAUUGUCAAGCUGUCAAAAUAGCAACUUCCUACUUAAGUUAUAUUUAUGCAAGCAUAUAAAGUGCUUUUUAUUAAAUUUACUUUUGGUUGAAUUAGAUGGACUAUUUUAGAGGAAAUAAAUCAUUUGUAUAAUGGUGAAGAAAUUGACCUUAUGGGCACCUUCCUAAGAAUGAUGUUUCAUUAGUGCUGGAUCAGCUUUUGGUAUCUGCAAGACAAUCUGAGAUCUGGAGACCAAGGGCAGUAUAUUUCAUUUACAUACUCCAUCAGGCUCUCUGCCUGGGUCCUAACUCACCUCACCAAUGGGCUUACUUUUGUCUUCAUUCUUUGUUCCUGAUAUAUAUAUAGGCCAGUGCAUUUGAGACAAAACCAAUAAGAAGGCAGGAGCCAGGAGCUGUUUCUAAUCCAAGCAUCUCACAUAGGUCAAACCUUUAAAGAUGGGAAUGAAAAUGAAGCUGUCCACUCUGGUCCAUUGUCAAAGAGGUCAUUUGGCACUCAUCUCACAAAUGGGGUAGCAUAAAAGAUGGGAGGAAUGGAGUGCGAUGGGGGCAGGGGGAGGCGAUAUGCAGAAAUGACCAGGCAGAAGGUUAGGCCCUUGGUUUCUCAGUCUACAAAUCCUGGCUGUGAUUAGAUUUGGUACCGCACACUUUUCAGAGAUUGCUGGGGGAGAAAUCACCUGCCACCUGCAUUCUGCUGGUUGGAUUUGCUACUGAUGGAGAAGGUAUAGGCUUUACCCAGGACCGCAUUUUUUUUUUUUAACUGCCUUACUCACAUGUACCAAUGCCACAGGAAAUUGAUGGUAACCAAUUGUCUAUGUGCUUUUGUUAGCACCUCUUUUCUGCUGUGCUGGGCUACACAAUUACCACAGCCCUUGAGAAUGCUUAUUGUCAAUAGGAGUAAUUUCACAUCCCAUCCAUUUAGUGAAAAGAUGUGAAAAUUGAUCCAGCUUCUGCGAUAAGACUGGAACCAGGGUGCAGGCUACAAAUGCCUUGGAAAUAAAUAUAUGUCCAUCAUUGUUUUCAUUAGGUAUUGCUGUAGCCCAGCCUCCAGGGAAAUGAACUCAAGUCCAGCUGUCUUGCCGUAGAAGUUCAGAUGUACUCCCAAUCUGGUGAAGUGGGCUGUCAGUUUCAUUUAUUGUUAACUUUUUGUAGUGGUUGUCAAGUAAGGGGUUGGCAGUCUGAAGAGCACAAUUCUGUUUUAUCCACAGACAGGGGACAGUGUAAUUCGACACUGGCUGCCAAGGAGGAACUUGUCCUUCCUAUCCAGCUUAUUGUCUGGACUCUUUUUUUAUGAUUUCAAAAGUCUCUUCAAAAGGGCAACAAAAUUAGCCUUAAAUAGUAUUUCUUGGAUUGCCUUUAACAAUGGCGAUAAGGCCAAAGCUUCUAGUCUUGACAGAAGUGGUUUCAUGACAACUUGUUUUUAUCUUGCCAGAAUAAGCAAGGAACUUAAAAAUGUGUUUUCAUUAUGGCUAAAGACUGUGUUUCAGCUGAUGUCUCUUGCAAGGAAAGAACAAUCUGCAAACUCCAUUAUUAUGUCUCUCAUUCACUUUCUGCUCCUAAGGCAAAAAGAUUUUUGUGUUGUUUUCUUUUUUGUUGUUGUUGUUUUAAAGAGGCCCUCUAUUUCAAUUAGCACAAUUAACAUAUCAAGAAUUUGUGUUUCCAUAAAUUCUACAUUUCACUUCCAG
RNAcentral lists this long non-coding RNA (2057 nucleotides) under Homo sapiens (human). Its description in RNAcentral is "non-protein coding lnc-TANC2-2:1". The record is from RNAcentral. Lineage: Eukaryota; Metazoa; Chordata; Mammalia; Primates; Hominidae.